UAAUGCUUGGGAAUCUGGCUUAUGGAGGGGAUAACUACGGGAAACUGUAGCUAAUACCGCGUAGAAUCGGGAGAUGAAAGUGUGGGACCUUCGGGCCACAUGCCAUAGGAUGAGCCCAAGUGGGAUUAGGUAGUUGGUGAGGUAAAGGCUCACCAAGCCGACGAUCUCUAGCUGGCCUGAGAGGAUGACCAGCCACACUGGGACUGAGACACGGCCCAG
Molecule: ribosomal RNA, 219 nt
Filed under: uncultured bacterium
Lineage: Bacteria
Description: partial 16S ribosomal RNA
Rfam family: Bacterial small subunit ribosomal RNA
Source: RNAcentral